Long non-coding RNA from Tachysurus vachellii, 1324 nucleotides. RefSeq lists it as uncharacterized. The record is from RefSeq and is a predicted model, not a curated record. The transcript is spliced from 4 exons. Lineage: Eukaryota; Metazoa; Chordata; Actinopteri; Siluriformes; Bagridae.
CUCGACUUGACUUUGACUUGACAUUCAUGACUUGAGACUUACUUGUGACUUGAGUUAAAAGACUCGAAAUAGCUUUUUUUUUUUUUUAAAUCUGUUUUUGAACGCACGCAAGAGCGUAAUAUAACCACGUGACGCAGCAGGCAAGCAGAGCAGUGGCGGAGCCAGAGGGGUGUCCCUGACAUCUGAUUGGCCACACCAGGUGCCACCCCGAAUUUUUAUUUGAUAGCAUUGGAAGUUUGAUGCUGAUCGACAUCUCAUUUCACCUAUCAAAAGAAGUCUUUGUUUGACGUUUGGUCGUGGCGCCGCUCAACAUUUCAAAUCCAUCAAUCAAUGACAAUAAAGAGUUGAGAGGUAGAGAAGAAUACUGUAACAGACUAAUACUAAAACAUCAAAUUCCAGUAAGUUUUGAGAUUAAACAUCAGGAUUUACCAGAAAAAUAUUUCGAAAGUUACGUCGCUAUAUAAAUUGACGUUAGACGCUAUUAACUGAUUAAUCAGACAAGAGAGAUCGGUUCGUUCCCCAGUUUAGCCAUAAUAUACAUAAAAUACAUAAUAUACCUAUAGUUGCCCUGGCCACCCCAUGUAUAAAACUCUAGUUCCGCCACUGAAGCAGAGGGAGAGCGCGUACUAACUAAUAAACCUCAACAGUCGUGAAGAAACAUGGAAGGCGCUGCAAUAAUUAACCAAAAAUAAUUAAGUUCGGGUACCGGGAUUUUGUGAUGGACAGGACUCACUGCAGUUUUAGGCUGUGAACAGGCACACCCUCCCCUCUUUGUUCAAGGAUUAAUCCUGUCAGUUUAUGCUCUUCACAUGGAGCUGUCACGAGAAAACGACCCAAAUUACACGGCUAUGUGCGACCUCGCUGAUUCUGUCAGCUGCUCCAAGGUUUUACCUCCAGGUUGGGACGUGGAUUUGGUCUCGUUCAGCUGUUUGCUGAAGAGGACAGCAUUCUGAACCAACCAAAAAGUUUACUGGGCAUCAUCUUUUACACUCUGCAGCUAGGCCUAGGGGAAAUGGUGUCAAAUACAGCAGCACAUUUCUUGGUCAUGGCAUCCUGGGUGUCAGUAGCUGGUUCAAUCUAUCUAGCUUUUAUUUUAGUAUUUGUUCUGGAAGAUUUCUGCAUGGUGUGUGUGUCGACAUACAUCAUUAAAUUUUCUCUCCUCUACACCAACCCGCAGAGAAGGAAAGCAGAAAAAAGACAAGACAAAAUGUGACCUUGUGUUUGUGUGUUUAUGUCUGUCUAUCUGUCUGUCUGCUGAAAAAAUCAUACAAGAAUAUAGUGUUCUUUGCAUUUUGUUACAUUAAUUCUGUUUACUUAAAAACUA